This 301-nucleotide ribosomal RNA is filed under the name uncultured bacterium. RNAcentral describes it as "partial 16S ribosomal RNA". It matches the Rfam family "Bacterial small subunit ribosomal RNA", at positions 509 to 807 of the family's 1533-position model. The record is from RNAcentral.
CAGUCGCCGCGGUAAAACGUAGGGCGCAAGCGUUAUCCGGAAUUAUUGGGCGUAAAGAGCUCGUAGGCGGUUUGUCGCGUCUGCCUUGAAAGUCCGGGGCUCAACCCCGGAUCUGCGGUGGGUACGGGCAGACUAGAGUGAUGUAGGGGAGACUGGAAUUCCUGGUGUAGCGGUGAAAUGCGUAGAUAUCAGGAGGAACACCGAUGGCGAAGGCAGGUCUCUGGGCAUUAACUGACGCUGAGGAGCGAAAGCAUGGGGAGCGAACAGGAUUAGAUACCCCGGUAGUCCCUGUCUCUUAUAC